This 253-nucleotide ribosomal RNA is filed under the name uncultured bacterium. RNAcentral describes it as "partial 16S ribosomal RNA". It matches the Rfam family "Bacterial small subunit ribosomal RNA", at positions 524 to 776 of the family's 1533-position model. The record is from RNAcentral.
GACGAACCGUGCGAACGUUGUUCGGAAUCACUGGGCUUAAAGGGCGCGUAGGCGGGCUGUCAAGUCUGGGGUGAAAUGCUGCGGCUCAACCGUAGAACUGCCUUAGAUACUGACGGCCUCGAGGGAGGUAGGGGCAUGCGGAACUGUAGGUGGAGCGGUGAAAUGCGUUGAUAUCUACAGGAACUCCGGUGGCGAAAGCGGCGUGCUGGACCUCUUCUGACGCUGAGGCGCGAAAGCUAGGGGAGCAAACGGG